CCUCCGGAUCAACUUUUUCAGAACUCUGGAAAUUGACCAAAGGCUUGCAACCAUCCUGGGUGCAUUUAUUCAAGACAAUCGGCUGGAUGUCAGUAGCAACAGUGAGCUUUGUGACAUUUAGCAUGCUGUAGUCCUAUUCUCCUCUCUCCAACUCCAUGGUAACCUUGAAAUCUAAUGGCCCAGAAUGAUGGUGAAAAGGGUAGCCUGGCAACCACCGGAGGGGGAAGGAACGACGUUGGAGAAUCUUCAAAGCCACAUUCUCAGAUAACUCUCAUUAUUUGACCUGUCUGGUGGGAAGAUCCUGUCUGGAGCAUCCCUAGAAGAUCUUACUUGGAAGUAAACCGAGGCACAGGGACAGAAAGGAGCUCGUCCUAAGUUACAGAGCCAGGAAGGAGUAGGGCCAGCCUUCAAUUCAGCCUGUCGACCCGUGCUCAUAACGUCACAAGGAAUUCGCCCCUGGCCCUAAGGAUUCUGGAAACUUCUGUUCCCCAGCCAGAUUCCCCAGUCAACGUGGACACGUAACUGGAUGGGGCUGUA
Neofelis nebulosa (Clouded leopard) is the source of this 537-nucleotide long non-coding RNA. RefSeq lists it as uncharacterized. The record is from RefSeq and is a predicted model, not a curated record. The transcript has 2 exons. NCBI's taxonomy places the organism in Eukaryota, Metazoa, Chordata, Mammalia, Carnivora, Felidae.